Long non-coding RNA from Felis catus (domestic cat), 821 nucleotides. RefSeq lists it as uncharacterized. The record is from RefSeq and is a predicted model, not a curated record. The transcript has 3 exons. Lineage: Eukaryota; Metazoa; Chordata; Mammalia; Carnivora; Felidae.
GUAGCUCAGCCGUGAUGUCUUCUGCCCCUGCUGCAGAGCGUAUAAGAAAGAAAUUAAGACCUGGUUGGAAAAAAAUGACACAAAUGAGAUAGAAGUCCCUCACCGGGCCUGGAAAAUUCUACGGAAUAAGUAGAACUAUUCAGGAUGCUAACAGAACAGGUGGUUGGACGUGCAGUGUGUGGUCUGGCGGGCAAAUAUCGUCCCUGGUCUACACAGAAGGGAGAGGAAUGACACGGGCAGAGGCCUGAGGUUGGCGACUGGACGGGCCCGCAGGGAGAGAGUUGGCCAGGGGGCGGAGCCAGAUUCACCCCCGCAGUUCACACGUGAAGACCCUACAGCAGAGGCGCAAGGGACCCGUUCGGUGACCUCGACCAGUCCGAUGACUGAAGAGCGGUGGCUGGAGCCCAGCCAAGUCUCAACAGCAUGGCCAUGCCUGGAGCCUCUGUACCGCAGCCGGACGGAUUUUUUCAAAAAAGCUAGUCAGAUGGUGUCAGUUCGUUGCUUGAACCCUCCUGUGGUUUCCCAUCACAUCAAGAAUACGAGGCGAGCCCCCUGUCGGGGUCUCCCUGGCCUUGGGCUCUGCUUGUAUUGGAGCUCGUCUGGCUUGCUCUCUGCCUUGCAGCUGCACUGGUAGCCGCCGCUCCGUCCUCCCACCGCCGGGCCUUUGCACUUGCUGACCCCACAGCCCGAGACUUUCCCCCAGUCUUCCCAGGAUCGGUCCUUUCUCGUCAUUCAGAACCGGCCUACACUGUCUACUCAGAGAGGCCUCUCUAUUGAGUGUCACAGCACUCGGAGCCCUCCUCCACAACCAGGCAAGGCUG